This 1533-nucleotide ribosomal RNA is filed under the name Maribacter aquimaris. RNAcentral's name for it is "bacterial SSU rRNA". It matches the Rfam family "Bacterial small subunit ribosomal RNA". The record is from RNAcentral. Lineage: Bacteria; Pseudomonadati; Bacteroidota; Flavobacteriia; Flavobacteriales; Flavobacteriaceae.
CAACGAUGAAGAGUUUGAUCCUGGCUCAGGAUGAACGCUAGCGGCAGGCCUAACACAUGCAAGUCGAGGGGUAACAGGGAGUGCUUGCACUCCGCUGACGACCGGCGCACGGGUGCGCACCGCGUAUGGAACCUACCUUUUGCAGGGGAAUAGCCCAGGGAAACUUGGAUUAAUGCCCCGUAGUAUCACGACACCACCUGGUGAUGUGAUUAAAGGCUUCGGCCGGCAAGAGAUGGCCAUGCGUCCCAUUAGUUUGAUGGUAAGGUAACGGCUUACCAUGACUACGAUGGGUAGGGGCCCUGAGAGGGGGAUCCCCCACACUGGUACUGAGACACGGACCAGACUCCUACGGGAGGCAGCAGUGAGGAAUAUUGGACAAUGGAGGAGACUCUGAUCCAGCCAUGCCGCGUGCAGGAAGACGGCCCUAUGGGUUGUAAACUGCUUUUAUACGGGAAGAAAAACAGCUACGUGUAGUUGACUGACGGUACCGUAAGAAUAAGGACCGGCUAACUCCGUGCCAGCAGCCGCGGUAAUACGGAGGGUCCGAGCGUUAUCCGGAAUUAUUGGGUUUAAAGGGUCCGUAGGCGGGCCAUUAAGUCAGGGGUGAAAGUCUGCAGCUCAACUGUAGAAUUGCCUUUGAUACUGGUGGUCUUGAGUUAUGGUGAAGUGGCUGGAAUAUGUAGUGUAGCGGUGAAAUGCAUAGAUAUUACAUAGAACACCGAUUGCGAAGGCAGGUCACUAACCAUAUACUGACGCUGAUGGACGAAAGCGUGGGGAGCGAACAGGAUUAGAUACCCUGGUAGUCCACGCCGUAAACGAUGGAUACUAGCUGUCCGGUACCUUGAGUACUGGGCGGCCAAGCGAAAGUGAUAAGUAUCCCACCUGGGGAGUACGUUCGCAAGAAUGAAACUCAAAGGAAUUGACGGGGGCCCGCACAAGCGGUGGAGCAUGUGGUUUAAUUCGAUGAUACGCGAGGAACCUUACCAGGGCUUAAAUGCAUUUUGACAGGUCUAGAGAUAGAUUUUCCUUCGGGCAAUUUGCAAGGUGCUGCAUGGUUGUCGUCAGCUCGUGCCGUGAGGUGUCAGGUUAAGUCCUAUAACGAGCGCAACCCCUACCGUUAGUUGCCAGCGAGUCAUGUCGGGGACUCUAACGGGACUGCCGGUGCAAACCGUGAGGAAGGUGGGGAUGACGUCAAAUCAUCACGGCCCUUACGUCCUGGGCCACACACGUGCUACAAUGGCCGGUACAGAGAGCAGCCAUGUCGCAAGGCAGAGCGAAUCUACAAAACCGGUCACAGUUCGGAUCGGGGUCUGCAACUCGACCCCGUGAAGCUGGAAUCGCUAGUAAUCGGAUAUCAGCCAUGAUCCGGUGAAUACGUUCCCGGGCCUUGUACACACCGCCCGUCAAGCCAUGGAAGCCGGGAGUGCCUGAAGUCCGUCACCGUAAGGAGCGGCCUAGGGCAAGAUCGGUAACUAGGGCUAAGUCGUAACAAGGUAGCCGUACCGGAAGGUGCGGCUGGAACACCUCCUUUCU